UGGAGACGUCGCUGCCGUGAUC
RNAcentral lists this small RNA (22 nucleotides) under Arabidopsis thaliana (thale cress). Its description in RNAcentral is "AGO1_1034". The record is from RNAcentral. Lineage: Eukaryota; Viridiplantae; Streptophyta; Magnoliopsida; Brassicales; Brassicaceae.